GACCUGGUGGUGUAGUGGUCUAUAUCACGGUGCCCAUGGUUGGCAUGAGACGCGGGUUCGAAUCCCGGCUGAGUCA
RNAcentral lists this transfer RNA (76 nucleotides) under Nippostrongylus brasiliensis. It matches the Rfam family "tRNA". Rfam says of the family: Transfer RNA (tRNA) molecules are approximately 80 nucleotides in length. The record is from Rfam by way of RNAcentral. Lineage: Eukaryota; Metazoa; Nematoda; Chromadorea; Rhabditida; Heligmosomidae.